UUCCUUCGGGAAUGGAUUAGCGGCGGACGGGUGAGUAACAACGUGGUAACCUGCUUCAUAGAGGGGAAUAGCCUUCCGAAAGGAAGAUUAAUACCGCAUAAGAUUGUAGUACCGCAUGGUAUAGCAAUUAAAGGAGUAAUCCGCUAUGAGAUGGACCCGCGUCGCAUUAGCUAGUUGGUGAGGUAACGGCUCACCAAGGCGACGAUCUGUAGCGGGUCUGAGAGGAUGAUCCGCCACACUGGGACUGAGACACGGCCCAGACUCCUACGGGAGGCAGCAGUGGGGAAUUUUGGACAAUGGGGGCAACCCUGAUCCAGCCAUUCCGCGUGAGUGAAGAAGGCCUUCGGGUUGUAAAGCUCUUUUGUCCGGAACGAAACGGUGGACGUGAAUAUCGUCCAUUACUGACGGUACCGGAAGAAUAAGCAC
Molecule: ribosomal RNA, 426 nt
Filed under: uncultured soil bacterium
Lineage: Bacteria
Description: bacterial SSU rRNA
Rfam family: Bacterial small subunit ribosomal RNA
Source: RNAcentral